Molecule: transfer-messenger RNA, 353 nt
Filed under: Salmonella enterica subsp. enterica serovar Typhimurium
Lineage: Bacteria; Pseudomonadati; Pseudomonadota; Gammaproteobacteria; Enterobacterales; Enterobacteriaceae
Description: partial transfer-messenger RNA
Rfam family: transfer-messenger RNA
About the family: Bacterial tmRNA, also known as 10Sa RNA or SsrA, is named for its dual tRNA and mRNA-like properties. Its role is to liberate the mRNA from a stalled ribosome.
Source: RNAcentral
GGGGCUGAUUCUGGAUUCGACGGGAUUUGCGAAACCCAAGGUGCAUGCCGAGGGGCGGUUGGCCUCGUAAAAAGCCGCAAAAAAAUAGUCGCAAACGACGAAACCUACGCUUUAGCAGCUUAAUAACCUGCUUAGAGCCCUCUCUCCCUAGCCUCCGCUCUUAGGACGGGGAUCAAGAGAGGUCAAACCCAAAAGAGAUCGCGCGGAUGCCCUGCCUGGGGUUGAAGCGUUAAAACGAAUCAGGCUAGUCUGGUAGUGGCGUGUCCGUCCGCAGGUGCCAGGCGAAUGUAAAGACUGACUAAGCAUGUAGUACCGAGGAUGUAGGAAUUUCGGACGCGGGUUCAACUCCCGCC